UACGUAGGGUGCAAGCGUUGUCCGGAAUUAUUGGGCGUAAAGAGCUCGUAGGCGGUCUGUCGCGUCGGAUGUGAAAACCCAGGGCUCAACCCUGGGCCUGCAUUCGAUACGGGCAGACUAGAGUUCGGUAGGGGAGACUGGAAUUCCUGGUGUAGCGGUGAAAUGCGCAGAUAUCAGGAGGAACACCGGUGGCGAAGGCGGUUCUCUGGGCCUGUACUGACGCUGAGGAGCGAAAGCGUGGGGAGCGAACAGG
This 253-nucleotide ribosomal RNA is filed under the name uncultured bacterium. Its description in RNAcentral is "partial 16S ribosomal RNA". It matches the Rfam family "Bacterial small subunit ribosomal RNA", at positions 524 to 776 of the family's 1533-position model. The record is from RNAcentral.